CUAACAAGGAUUCCCCUAGUAACUGCGAGUGAAGCGGGAAAAGCUCAAAUUUAAAAUCUGGCGGUCUCCGGCCGUCCGAGUUGUAGUCUGGAGAAGCGUUUUCCGCGUCGGCCCGUGUACAAGUUUCCUGGAACGGAGCGUCAUAGAGGGUGAGAAUCCCGUCUCUGACACGGACCGCCGAUGCUUUGUGAUGCGCUCUCGAAGAGUCGAGUUGUUUGGGAAUGCAGCUCAAAAUGGGUGGUGAAUUCCAUCUAAAGCUAAAUAUUGGCGAGAGACCGAUAGCGAACAAGUACCGUGAGGGAAAGAUGAAAAGCACUUUGGAAAGAGAGUUAAACAGUACGUGAAAUUGUUGAAAGGGAAACGCUUGAAGUCAGUCGCGUCUGCCGGGACUCAGCCUUGCAAUCUUGCUUGGUGUACUUUCUGGUGGACGGGCCAGCAUCAAUUUUGGUCGCCGGACAAAGGCUGGAGAAAUGUGGCACCUUCGGGUGUGUUAUAGUCUCUGGUCGCAUACGGCGGUCGGGAUUGAGGAACUCAGCAUGCCUUUAUGGUCGGGGUUCGCCCACGUUCAUGCUUAGGAUGCUGGCGUAAUGGCUUUAAACGACCCGUCUUGAAACACGGACCAAGGAGUCUAACAUGCCCGCGAGUGUUCGGGUGGAAAACCCGUGCGCGUAAUGAAAGUGAAAGUUGGGACCUCUGUCGUGGAGGGCACCGACGCCCGGACCAGAACUUCUGUGACGGAUCUGCGGUAGAGCGUGUAUGUUGGGACCCGAAAGAUGGUGAACUAUGCCUGAAUAGGGUGAAGCCAGAGGAAACUCUGGUGGAGGCUCGUAGCGAUUCUGACGUGCAAAUCGAUCGUCAAAUUUGGGUAUAGGGGCGAAAGACUAAUCGAAC
RNAcentral lists this ribosomal RNA (891 nucleotides) under Bondarzewia sp. PDD94520. RNAcentral describes it as "eukaryotic LSU rRNA". It matches the Rfam family "Eukaryotic large subunit ribosomal RNA", at positions 65 to 940 of the family's 3401-position model. The record is from RNAcentral. Lineage: Eukaryota; Fungi; Basidiomycota; Agaricomycetes; Russulales; Bondarzewiaceae.